CAGCCCAUAGUUAAAUAAUAAUUAGGAUUUUGGGGAUCUUAGGUCCUGCAUUAGCAGGUGGGCUGA
Molecule: transfer RNA, 66 nt
Filed under: Hiatella sp. J HML-2015
Lineage: Eukaryota; Metazoa; Mollusca; Bivalvia; Adapedonta; Hiatellidae
Also listed under: 1 other name
Description: tRNA-Pro
Source: RNAcentral